CCCCCGCCCCAGCCCCGGGAGAAAUUGAAUCCAGAAACCAAGUAUUCAAAGUUCAGGGGCCUUUAUGCCUCUAGUCUAAGAACCAUUGAUUGUGAAGCAGGUAGUGAGAUCUGGGUAACAAAAAUCAGUGUGUCUGUGCUGGCAACUUCGUGAGGUCACAAAGUAUAAGCCGUAGUCUUGGUUGUCAUUGGUGUGAUCCCGAUGGUGUGAGGUGCUCCUGGCGAAGUUCAGGCUUUGGUCUGAUGAUCAUCCCCUCGAUCUGACCUGAGGUGACUCCCUUAAAAACACAAUGCUCCCAAUUCCCUGUUGCCCAAAUCUGACUUCGGGAUUAUUUCUCAGUAAUGAGCUUUCGUAGAAUCUCUUCUUCCCGUAUUAGUAAUUAAGCAAGAUACGUGUUUUUGCUUGUUUUGCUCAUUAUUGAAAACCAAAUUAAGACCCGUAAAAAUAGCUCCGUCAGAUUGGUGUGUAGACUCAGCAAGAUUUAAGUAAGUAAGGGAACCCACAAGCUCCUCCACAGGCAAAUCCAAUUUUCAAGGUUAGUAAAACAGGGAGGGCCCCCUUCCGGCCGGUGCUUGGGUCUCUGAAGGUGCCCUCUGGAGAUUACUCACUAUCGCUGUUGUGCUCAUGACCCUGGCCACGAUUAUUGCUGCUUCGACCCGAGUGCAGAUGCACUCUAUCAGUGUUCACUUGUCUUUGUUACUCUUACUUCUCCGUAGGCCUCAACUAUGAAUCCAGGGGUAGAUCUGGGUGACAAACAGCAUUGCUGUUCCCGAGGGGGAUUUGCCUCAGUAGGGUCUCUUGGAAGAUUUGGAGCUUGAAUCGAGCGAAGGAGCAGCUGGUAGCAUGCCUGUUAACUUCGUUCUCAAUAAAUGCUAACUUCAUUCCAACCCGGCAGUAACAGCAUUCCCCCUUCUGUAGUUAAUAGCCCUGCAUAUUAACCCAAGCUGUUACAUUAACCUUAUUAAAUGCAUCAUACUCUGAUCAACUGAGUUUAUUGCCUAGAAACUUUCGUUUAUAAACUAAAUUAGUUCAUACUAUCCUCCCUCUCCUUUGAUCCCGUAUAACUAAAAAUAUAAUGCUUACAUAUUAUGAACUUCCUGCAGCCCUUCUUUGAAAGGCCCAUUUUUCCUAUUUAUUUUUUGCAAUCAAUAUGACCAAAAAGCGAGUUACUGAAACAGUUACAAUCCGAUCACAUUGUUGAAAUCCAGUUUUGUGCAAAUGAUCUGCACAUGUAUGUGUGCAUAUGGAUACGGGUGUACAUGUGCACGUGUGUGUGCACAUUUGUGUAUGCAUGGUGAGUGACAUUAGAUCUUAGAAAUAGGAGACGGAGGAUGUGUAGAUUGAUAACUUCUGUUAGAAAUUACUAGAUACAUAGUUUAUCAAAUGGGAAACGACAUAGUAAUAAAAUGAGUUAAGCUUGUUUUAUUUCAUUACCUUUGCUGAGAAACAGUGUAUUAUUAAAUAUCACUAAAACUAUGUUAGGCCAAAAAAAAAUGUACAUGCAAGCCUACGUAGAUGGAACUCUUUAGAAAGUUUGUUGACUAAGAAAUAAAGUUGUAUUUAUACAUUAAUUCCCCAUGGUUAAGUGUGUCAUUGUCAGAUACAAUGAUGUGAAUAACUUCCUUCUUUGGUAAAAAAUGUACUAGAAGCAAAUACACGUAUAGAGAUGUCUACAGUAUAUACAAAAAUGCUAUAUUUAUCUAGCACAACCAAAUACGUGAUUUAUAUUCUUUUUAUAAUUUCAGAUGUCAGCUUUCUGCAAGUGUUACACAUAUCUACAACUUUUUGAAAAGAGUUGGGUGCAUGCCCAACUGAUCUAUCUAAUGACUGGAUCCAUGGGCAUCAACUACAGUAGUUCAAGUUCUGUGCCUUUUGGAUCGUCUGGCCUCUCUCCCGGUCUGGCUCAUCUGAUGAAUAGUGUGUGGGAUCUGAGAGAAAGAGACGUCACUGAGGCUCUUAGUCUGAGGAACUGACAAGACAGACGUACCAUUACCUAGUCGGGGUGAGUAAGGCGGUUUUGUUUCUUUUUUUUUUUUUUUUUUUUAGGUUUUUGACUUAGUUUAUUAGUUAUUAAUAGUCAUUUUUAGAGCAAGUUUAGGUUCACAGCAGAAUUGGUCAUUUCAUCUUGAGGAAGGGGUAAGUUGAGUUCUGUUUAGAGACUUAAGUGUCAGUCUAGUAGACAAGCAAGUGUGCACAUCAAGCAGGACCUGGAUCCGCCUGGCAGGGGUUUAGGGCAGGGGUGUGGCUGGAAAGACGAAUUUCGGAGUUGUGAGUCUGUAGAUGGUAUUUUUAGCGGGGAGACUAGAAGAACUCACCGAGGUCGCGGCCAGUUACCAACACCCCGUUCCAUCUCUGCCAUCAGAUCUGGGUCCUUGGAUGGUCUUCCUUUGCCGGCUGACUCGGUGUGGAGCUUUGUCCCUAGAGGUACUGAUGAGACAGCACGGGAGGAGUGGUUUCCUGUCCCGGGUCUGGAGUUCACCACCGGGUUUGGGGAGGGCACUUUUUGUGUUUUUCAUCCACCAUUUCAUGCUGCUUGCGUGGUUUUUCCGGUGCUUGGUGCCCCGGGGCCUACUUCUUUCUCCCCAGCAUUUGCCCCACCCCAACUCCAGUGCUUUCUUAAGCCCUUGACCUAGGUGUGGCAGCUUGGCUGAGACCCCCAGACACUGGGCCGAUACUGCAGCAUGGAUCACUGCUACCUCACACCCUCCUCAGCCUACCCGGCCCCAUGCACACGUGCUGGGAGACAUGACAGCCUUCCUGUGCCAUAGUCCAGCCGUCGGGGUUGCGCCUGGCACAGAAGUGUACCGGGUCCCAGCAGAGCCAGGCCUCUCCAGCUCCCGGCCCCCGCAGUGCCUGGUGGCCCGACCCCCUCUGCACCUGUAACCCCCUUUGUCCUACUGAUUCCCUGUUAUCCCAUCAUCAACCACAGCUCUCCUGCACCUGGGGGUCUUGUUUCCCUUGACCUUCCCAACAUAGACACCCAGCCCCCAAAGCACACCUACCCGUCAGCCUCAGCUCACCUGCAUCCCAGAGGGCUGUUCCUGCUUGUCCGGUGACAGUGGGCCAGCAAAUUUCUCCUCCUUCCAGUGGGCCUCAGCCUCGCCUUCCUCGGUGAGGGCCGAACCCCUGCCAAGCCUGUCCUUCUUCAAGCACUCUCCCUUGGGCUAAGGUGCCCAUUAGAGUUCCCUUGAAAUCUCCAUAGUCUUCCAAGAUGGCUUUCUAAUUCCUUAUUUUAAACUUCUUUCACUUAUAUUACUGUGUGGUAUCCAUCACCUGAGUGGACCCAGACUGAUAGAGAAGAGCUGAUAGUAACGAGAGAGAAGAAAAGGUCAAGAGGUUUGAGCUCUGGGGGCACCUCGCCAUUCAGAGGCUGGGAAAGGGACUCAGAUCUGAGUCGGGGUAAGCAAGUGGCCUGCUUCCAAGGGAGGACCAUCAAAAGAAUGUGGCAUUGUAUCACUGGAGCCACACAAAGAACGUAUGUACAAAGAAGGAAAUUACUGACUAUGUAAAAAAACUGUAAGUCAUAUACGACGAGCAAUGAGCGUGACAAUCAGGAUGUAGCGACAUGAACAUCACCAGCUGCCUUCGCAAAAGCAGAAACAUUGGACGGAAUCUAGAGAGUCUAUCAACCUGCUACCCAAGGCGAGACUGCUUUUGAGGUGCCCUUGACAGAUCUUCUACCUGAUAAACAUCCUAAUUUGCUUACAGUAUCACUAUUUACUUACGUUAUUCUACUUAUGAACUUUAGGGCUUUCUGUCGUUUUCAAAUAAUCGGAGGCAUCAGUUAUUAUGGAGAAAGCAUAGGAUGUACUCCAAUGCUUCCUUAUGUGUAUUAUUUUAACUAAUAUUUAUUGAGUGUCUACUGCAUUUCAGGUAUUGGUCUAGGAACUGGGAUAGGAUAGUGAAAUAGCAAAGCGAAGAGCCUGCCAUCAUGAAGUUUCCAUUUUGAUGGGAGACACGGGUAGUAAGCUAGCGAACGAGUACAUAAACUAGGGUGUUUUCAGAGCGAUACGUGCAAUGAAGGAAAUAGAGCAGAGUGCCAGAGGAGUAGGAAUUGUAUCAGUGGUUAGACAAAUCCUCUCCAAGGAAAUAGCAUUUGAGCUAAGAUCUAAAUACGAAGAGAGUGGUGAACAAAAAUCUACACCAAAA
Molecule: long non-coding RNA, 4149 nt
Organism: Panthera uncia (snow leopard)
Lineage: Eukaryota; Metazoa; Chordata; Mammalia; Carnivora; Felidae
Exons: 2
Source: RefSeq, a predicted model, not a curated record